GACGAACGCUGGCGGCGUGCUUAACACAUGCAAGUCGAACGAUGAAGCCGGAGCUUGCUCCGGUGGAUUAGUGGCGAACGGGUGAGUAACACGUGAGCAAUCUGCCCUUGACUCUGGGAUAACUGCGGGAAACUGUAGCUAAUACCGGAUACGACACCUUGGGGCAUCCCAGGGUGUGGAAAGAAUUUCGGUCAAGGAUGAGCUCGCGGCCUAUCAGCUAGUUGGUGAGGUAAUGGCUCACCAAGGCGACGACGGGUAGCCGGCCUGAGAGGGUGACCGGCCACACUGGAACUGAGACACGGUCCAGACUCCUACGGGAGGCAGCCGUGGGGAAUAUUGCACAAUGGGCGAAAGCCUGAUGCAGCAACGCCGCGUGAGGGAUGAAGGCCUUCGGGUUGUAAACCUCUUUUAGCAGGGAAGAAGCGAAAGUGACGGUACCUGCAGAAAAAGCACCGGCUAACUACGUGCCAGCAGCCGCAGUAA
RNAcentral lists this ribosomal RNA (483 nucleotides) under uncultured bacterium. Its description in RNAcentral is "partial 16S ribosomal RNA". It matches the Rfam family "Bacterial small subunit ribosomal RNA", at positions 28 to 523 of the family's 1533-position model. The record is from RNAcentral.